Molecule: long non-coding RNA, 2003 nt
Filed under: Macaca mulatta (Rhesus monkey)
Lineage: Eukaryota; Metazoa; Chordata; Mammalia; Primates; Cercopithecidae
Description: lncRNA (ENSMMUG00000050120.1)
Source: RNAcentral
CUUGGGCACGGUUUCGAGGCGGGGUUCCGAGGAGCCGGGGGUGGGGCCAGCUUGGAGCGGAUACAGCAAAAAGGAGAGAGAGACACAGAGUAGACAGACACAAGGGAGAAGUCCGUGUGAAGAUGGAGACGGAGAUUGGAAUGAUACAGCCACAAGCCAAGAAACAUCUGCGGCCAUCAGCAGCUGGAAGAGCUCUCACCAGAGGCUGAGCAGAUGCUGAUGCCAUGCUUCUUGAUUUUCCCAGCCAACAGAAUUGUGAAUUGAAUAAACCUCUCUUCUUUACAAAUUACCCAGUCUCAGGUAUCCUGUUAUGGCAACACAAAAUGGACUAAGACAGGAUGUCGCUAUCAAUCACGCUUCGACUGAGUACAGCCAAACCAGGAUACUCAGGGAAUUGGAACCUGUUAUCAGACUUCCAUUUAGUACAGACACAGCGCCAGGGGACUGAGCAUUCUUCGGCAACACCCUUUGGACCCCUUCUCUACACCAAUGCUGUGUGACCUGAAGGGCUGGGGACAUGAAGGAGCAGCUCAGCUAAGGUGACCCAGAUGGUUGGGCUCGGAGCUGGAAGAACACUGUGGUCUCCUACCUCCCAAUUCCUGCAUCUGUCCUGCUUGUAAGAGGCUUGCCAAGAACAGGAGCUCUUGUUUGUAGGUCUCUAGGGAUGGCCACCGCAGGGAGUGUGAUUUGAAGAUGGGUUCGGGGUGACAUUACAGGCCCCCUUUAGGCUCUGCUGGUUGCAGGCCAGCUCUCUGGGGUGCCUUUCUGAUGGCUGCUAUUUUAAAGGCAGAUAGGAUGACAUUAACAACUUUUAUCAUUCAACUAGCAAGGGCUCAGGACGGGCAGCCCCCUUCUGGGAAUGUGCCUAACUCCUGCCCCAGAAUGGAGGAGUCUCUGUGGCUCUAGGGGAGCUGGCCUUCUGUGGAGUCUGAGCAAUGUACUGCACAGGGAGAAGACGCUGCCAGCUGAUACCAGUGUCUCUAUGCAGAGACAUUUCCAGGACACCACGUUAAGCAGCAGAGACACAAGAAGUCAAGGCCCAUGUGCUCUGGUGUGGACGUGUGCCUCCUGUGCCUCAGUGGCAUCAUCUGUACCAUGGGAGGUGUGUAAUGAGGGGUGCAAUCACGACUGCAAGUGCACGUACAUAGUAGAUGCCCAGGAAGUGCCAGUCCCCAUCUCCUUCCCAGUUUCUUCAGAGCCUUCUGGAAGGCACUGGCAUAGCCCAGUCCUGAGGCAUUGCUUUUUCUUUCAUGGAUGAUCAGGAGCUUCUGUGAUUUCUUCCCCCUCACUCUUCAUUUUGCCAAGAUGUCGCCCAUAGUAACCUCAGCAGUGGAGCGGGGAUUCUGCACUGUUCCACUGCCCGGGGCUGCACAUCCACGUGAGCGGGGCCGACCCGUCCCAGAACGCUUUGCCCUUGGAAGGCAGCAUCACCUGCAGGGGCAAUGCUGUGGACAGCUCUGGCAUGUCCUCCAGGGCCCUGGCAUGGUCAGUGAGAAAAGGCCCCCAGGCGUGGGCUUCUCCCAUCAGUCAGGUUCAGAAGGCUUCCUGGGGUAAGUAGAGACGCUCCCUACCCAACUGAGUUGUUAAAAUGACAGGAGGGAGAGGGGAAGGUCUGGGCCUGUGGCACUGUGAUUUUUUUUUUCUUUCUUUCUUUUUUUUUUUUUUUGGAGACUCGUUGGGGUAGAAAUGAGGACAGGAAGAAGUACAAUCCGUCUGGGAUUGGUUUAUUUUUAUUGCUUUUUAAAACCAUGUGACUAAUUGGUGUUCAUUGAAAAAGAGAAAACAAAAAUAAGCCAAGAGAAGACAGCAAAAAUAGUCUGUUAACAUCUUGGCAAAUAUCCUUUUUCUCUGCAUAGAAACAGAGAAUACUUUUGUUUCACUUAUAAAAUGUUUCUUGCUGUACACAGCUUUAUAACCUGCUUUUUUCUUAAUGGAACAAUAUACUAGGACAUGUUUUCAGGCCAACAGAUAAAUAUACUUCACUUGCAUUGAUGCUAUUGGCA